CCUCUAUGGAGAUGACAGUCUGGUCAGAGGGAGAAGGAAGAGAGUGCCCCAGGGCCCUUCAGCCUUGUUGGACUCAGCUGAUAGAAGAGGGAAGCAGAAGAGUCAGCGUCAGAGUUCACCACUAGAAGAUGGAAAAGGCAAAGCAAUGGAUUCUCCCCUAGAGCCUCCAAAGGAAUACAGUUCUGCCAAUACCUUGACCUUAGCUCCAUGACACCCACUGUAGCCUUCUGACCUUCUAUGAGAAAAGGCUCAGGGCUAAGCAGCAAAAGACUGGAUCUUGAAUCUUCUGCCCAAGCACUUGGAGAAGCGCACCCUAGAGCCAGGAAUCCUCACUGUGGACUGUGAGGACUGUGCCAUCUCAGGGCCUCCUGCCAAGCUCCCCUGGCAACAGCAGUCAAAACACAAACUCGGC
Molecule: long non-coding RNA, 412 nt
Organism: Heterocephalus glaber (naked mole-rat)
Lineage: Eukaryota; Metazoa; Chordata; Mammalia; Rodentia; Bathyergidae
Source: Ensembl